UCUAGGAUAAGCUAAUUAAUUAAGCUAUUGGGCUCAUAACCCAAAAAUGAGAAUAUUCUCCUAGAA
This 66-nucleotide transfer RNA is filed under the name Leucophytia bidentata (two-toothed white snail). RNAcentral's name for it is "Auriculinella bidentata (two-toothed white snail) tRNA-Met". Lineage: Eukaryota; Metazoa; Mollusca; Gastropoda; Ellobiida; Ellobiidae. The record is from RNAcentral.